Molecule: long non-coding RNA, 31397 nt
Filed under: Eucalyptus grandis
Lineage: Eukaryota; Viridiplantae; Streptophyta; Magnoliopsida; Myrtales; Myrtaceae
Description: long non-coding RNA (EGRA_LNC002661)
Source: RNAcentral
UGGAGCAAAUGUCGCAUUCAUUUUAUAGUGUCUCUUACUCAAAAUAACUUUAGAGGUCAAGGCUUCGUUAGUGUAAAGUCUUACUCAAUGUGCAAUCGAUAAAGCAGUUUGCGGAUAUUGCAGACCUUGGUGGCUAGUGGUGCCCCCAACACUCAUGUUCGAAAAUUCCCUAAUUACAGGUAAAAAAAUUCCUAAAAAAUUAUAGAUAAUGAUCUCUCGGUUAAAUUUGUUUUUCUAUCUAGUUUGCCUAACUUCAAAUUCUUGGUCCACCACUAGUUUACUACUAUUUGAAGAAAUGAGCUUAAUCGGAAUGUUUGGACAAAAUAUGUUACUCGAAAGGAAGAUGAACCUUUGAGAAGUUAUGAAGCGGACUAAAAUAUGCAUGUAUCAAAUUGCAUCUAAACCACUAAAGAUAGUAGACUCUAUAUAGAUUCCUCACAUCUAACCGUUCAGAUUUAAUAAAUUCAUAAACUGAAUUCACCGAAUAAUUUUGAGGAAUGUUUAGGUCAUUCCUGUACCGUCUAAAUGUGGUUUGGACAAUAUUGUAUGAAGACAAAUGAUUUAAUUUGACCAUUUCGUCAUAUCAAAAGAUCAAGUAUUACUUCUAGAAUAACGAUUUCAAUAUCAAUCCACAUCUCAAGACUUUGGCCGUGCAAAGCGCGGGUCUAUAGACAAAAUUAAGUGCCUAUGUCUUUUCAGAUGUGUCUAGUGCAUGAAUCGCCCAAGCAGAAUGAAAUUCCGACGCUCGAAUUGCUUAUCGUUGCCUACAAAAGCUUCUCCACUGAAAACGAAAUCUACCAAAAAGCAGUAAGAACAAAACAAAAAUAUGGCCCCCUCAUUAUUCUCCCUGUUUUGUACUAUGAUCGUUUUCCUCCCUACAUUUCCAACUUCCGUCGCUAAUUAUCUUGUCUGGCAUUGACUCCUCAUUAAAGGGUCAAUUACUCAUCAAAUAUAAAAUAUAUUAGAUUAUUGUUUUUUUUUGUUGUAAAUAUAAUUCCCAUAAUAUGAUCAAAAUCCUUGCCGUGCAAGAUGUUUGCAUUUCAUCAACUUCGCGUUCACCGUAAGUCGUCAACCCCACCUUGACUUGAAAGUCGCCUCCCAAGUCUUUCUUUGGUUGAGAAUCUGGGGCGGACGCAUCGAUUUGCACGCCACGCACGUCUUUUUCAAUGUAAUCUUGAACAAAAAUACCAGUACCCUAUUUGUUUGUGUAUAUCUAUUGGUCAAAAACAGAAGUUAAGGUUUAGCAAUUUUUUUUUGUACCUCACCUCCUAAUCUAAGUUUCGGCUUUGCAGCUUGACUUUUGAGUUCUACCUACAAAACCCACAACGAUCCCUUCUACGUAACAUUCUUUUUUUGUAAUUUAGUGGUGAAGUGGUAUCCAAAGCUGCUUUCGUGCACUUCAAUUAGUUCAUUUUCUUGGGAGAUCUUAAGGACACACUCCAUCAUAUCGACCUAAUAGAAGGGAUUUUAUUUCUAGAGUGCUGCCAAUAAGGCUUGAACUCAAGUCUAUAAGUUAAGUAGAAAACUUCUGACAAUCUAAACCGACACCUUGGUGGUUUUGUGUAGCAAUUACAACUGUACCAACUAAAUAGAAGAUAUGACAAAAAUCAAAUACGUAUUGUAUUCAAUAAUUUUAUGGAUCAUGCGUGAUUAGUACAAUCAUAUGUUAAAACAUUAGCUUUUUGAAAGAAAAAAAAAACUGUAGAAUGACUCUUGCUUAUCAAUUCAAAGUGACAAAAGUCUUUUUGUGGGUCUUUCAAUUUUGGCCUAUUUGUGGAAAAAUAAAUGAGAUUCCAUUUUAAUGGACCAGCCAUGCAAUCAUGAUUGCACCCAAACCAUCAAUCACAACAUGAGAGCUCGCUUUAGAAUUUCUACCUUGUGGAUGUGUGACCAUUUAUUUCCUUUUUUUUUUUUUUUUGCAAAAACAAAUAAAAAUGCCCUAGUUUGCUUAUGAACAUCAACAUCAUUUUCAAAAAAGAAAGGCAGAGAGAGGCACUAUGUUGAGUAUUUUCAGAUUAGCCCAAGAGUAACGUCCCAUGGCGGACUUAUGAAUUCUAUUGAUGAACCCAUCUCCCAACACUAUUGUAUGGCAGGACAUUCACAGUAUACUUGAUCUUAAUUGUCACAUUGUCAACCCUUAGUCUCUCACGUGUAUUAUUGAUAUCCUUUAUUAGAAGAUACUGUGCUGGCGAAACAAUGAAUCAUCGACAAAUCUGCGGCUAGACCAAUUAAAUGUGUCUCAUUUAAUUUACACUCAAAAUGCUUAGAAUUUUCAUUUGUUAUGUUUGGUGAUAUCUCAAGUGAGCUUUCGUGCGCAUAGUAAAUUGACCACUUUGACAUGAUAAAAAAAAAAAUAGGCCACCAGCACUAAAUCUUAUAACUCAUCAAGGACUACCUACGUCUUGUUAUUUUUAGCCUUAUAAUUAGAUUGAUCAAAUUGUAAAGUUUAGGACUAUAUUGACUACUAUACAAUAACUUUAUGAUUUUUUGACCCAAUUUUCUCCACUAAAUUGACUGUUGUACAAUAAAUUUAUGAUUUUUUAAUCCAAUUUUCUCCACAGAAUUAUUCCACGAUGUAAUUUCUCCAAGAAAGCUAAAAUUUGACAAUCUCAAAUACUCUUUUGUCGCUUUUCCAUCAUCAUAUAUCUAUGAGCACAUGUCAAUGCAUUUCAGAUAAUCAUAAACAUUGAACACCAUUCAAUCUUCCACGUCCUUCCUUCACCAAUUCACUAAUCCAUUAUCACAUCAUCAAGAAUUGAACUAACCAAUUCAAGUUGUAUCUCUCGGAACUCUACUCAAAGCGUCAUGUGUGAUAGUUUUAGAUAUUACGCUUAGAUGGAUUCUUGGAGUAUCAUGCUCCAUCUAUUGAAAAAUAUUCAUUUAUGCAUCACCAAAAUCAAUACGUAUAUUCUACUUAUUUUGGGAUAUAUGAAGGGCUAUCUCCCUAAUCCCGAGCAUUUUCACUGUCCAAACCUCUUAAGUUUUUUAUGGAAUGUUACCCAAAAGGUGUUCAAUAAGAUUUGGAAUAGAGGAAUAAAUAACAAACCAUAGAUACAUAUAAGAUUCAUUGUCAAGCGAUGUGAGAUAAUGAAAGUCCAAUCCAAAAACUCAAGUCAUUAAUUAGAGAGAGAUCGCAUUUAUAUAAAGAGCAAUGACAUUGCUCUAAUAGAAAACAUACAAGAGAAUAAUAUUAUUAUGCCACCCUCAGUACUGCCUAUACUUUCUACUUGGGUCAUUUUGAUCGUGAUGUUUCACUUUUCAUACUCACUUUGCUAAGCCAAAAUUUCAUGUCAAAGAAAGCUUAGCCUUGGUGCUAUUCAAAGGGGCAUUUUAGAACCAACAUAGCAUAUUCUUCUUGUGUUUAUCUGAAGCUCGAAUCGAGGUCAUCGACGAUAGGUAAUGGAGACUGUUGCUUAUGGGACGGUGUGGACUAAGAUGAAUUCACCGGUCACAUCACUUGCUUCGGUCACAUCACUUUCUUUGACCUCAGUAGUAAGUUAACUUCUGACAUGGACUUCUUAAUCGUUCCGCAUGGAAUUGCUUAAUCUUGCUUACCACAACUUCAAUCCCUACCCAACGCCGUAGGGCAAGGGGAAAAUGGGGUCGUUAUGUCAUUAUUGCACACUUUAGUCAACAUAAAUAAUCAACAUGAGAGAAAUAAAUGAAAAAAUCACAUCAAUAUUUUUCAUUAUCUAAAUUGGAUGGAGUUGAUGAAAGGAUUUGAAUUCAUCAAUAUGAAAUAAGACUUCAUUGUACUUUUUGAGAGUUUUAAAUUUCAAUUGUACCCUCAAGAUAACUUUUUGGACUUCUUUUCAGACUUCCCAUACACUUAAUUCCUUUUUUUCAGCAUCUAGCUAUCUGUAUUAUAUUGCUUGAUAGAAUGAAAGUUACAUGUUUUCCACCGUUUCGUAAUAUCAUUGAAACAUGUUAAUGUUGUUAAAUACUGAGUACCAUUGAUAAGAGAGUAAGAAUUCAUCAACAUCUGACAUAUGCAAGCACUGUGGUGCUAAUGCACUUCGUUUUUCUCGUCUCUUUCAUCCAAAGCGUGGAGUCCACGGAGAUGGCCUAUACGUGCCAAAAACGCAACGCAAUUAUGCAAAAGACUUUGACAUGUCAACCCGGAUUAGGUGAUGCCUAGUGGGACUGCGAAUACGGAAAGAAAAGCUAGAGGGAUGAGACCAAAUCUUCAAAAGAAGUCAUUGCAAGAUGAACUCAUCUAUAGGCCACUAUCAGUGAUCCCAACGUGUUCGUCGAAUCAAAGUUCCAGUCUUCACGUUGUAAGACUAUAUUUUAAGCAAGUUCCCUCAAAAAAAGGGAAAAAGAAGAAGAUGAUGCAAGAGCCUUGAUAUGUGAUUGAGUGGUCCAACACGUGGUAAGCACGGAGCAGAUGUCGCAUUCGUUUUUGUCUCUUACUCAAAGUAACUUUAGAGGCCAAGGCUUCCUUGGUGUAAAGUCUUACUCAAUGUGCAAUCAAUAAAGCAGUUUGCAGAUAUCACAGACCUUGGUGGCCAGUGGUGGCCCCGACCCUAAUGUCCGAAAAUUCCCUAAUUAUAGGUAAAAAAUUCCCAAAAAAUUAUAUGGUGAAAUUUUUUUAUUUUUUUAUCUAGUUUGCCUAACCUCUAAUUCUUUGUCUGCCACUAGUUUACUACUGCUUGAAGAAAUAAGCUAAAUUGCAAUGUUCGGACAGAAUAUGUUACUUGAAAGGACGAUGAACUUUUGAGAAGUUAUGAAGCGGACUAAAACAUGCAUGUAUCAAGUUGCAUCUAAACCACUAAAGAUAGUAGACUCCAUACAGAACCCUCACAUCUAACAGUUCAGAUUUAAUAAAUUCAUAUACUGAAUUCACCAAAUAAUUUUGAGGAAUGUUUAGGUUAUUCCUGUACUAUCUAAACAUGGUUUGGGCAACAUUGUGUGCAGACAAAUGAUUUAGUAUCACCAUUUCGUCAUAUCAACAUAUCAAGUAUUACUUCUAGAAUAAUGAUUUCAAUAUCAAUCCAUAUCUCAAGAGUUUAGCCGUGCAAAGCACGGGUCCAUAGACAAAAUUUAGUGCCAGUGUCUUUUCAGAUGUGUAUAGGUGGAUGAAUCGCCCAAGCAGAAUGAAAAUUCAACGCUGGAAUUGCUUACCGUUGCCUACAAAAGCUUUUGCAUUGAAAACGAAAUCUACCAAAAAGCAUAAGAACAAAACAAAAAUAUGGCCCCCUCAUUAUUCUCCCUGUUUUGUACUAUGAUCGUUUUCCUCCGUGUUUCCUACUUCGGUCACUAAUUAUCUUGUAUAGCAUUGACUCCUCAUUAAAGGGCGAUUAAUCAUCAAAUGUAAAAUAUAUUUGACUUAUCCUCCCAUAAUUUGACACACGAGUAAAUCAACUAAACAAAUAUCUCGGGAAAAGCUAAAGUACAACAAUCUCAACUCUCAAAUGCUUUCUACGGCAGUCCAUCACCAUAUAUUUACGAGUACAUGUGACUGUUGUUUCACAUGCUCAUAAACGCCGAACACCCUUUAUCUUCCAAGUCGUUCCUUGACUUAGUUUUAGCCAUCUCAUAAUAAAUAAAUCGAUCGAUUCCAGUUCUUUUUUUCAUUUGGGCACCCCGGCCGACAGAUGUAAAGGGACAAUUGCCAGUUUCCCAUUACGAGACCGGGCCUGGGAUUCGAUUAGGCGGCCCAAUCGCGGGCUGAAGGCCCAUUACGUAGCGGGCCCAUUUCUCUCCGGAUUCCAGCCCCUCCCCUCGCCCAAGAAAGCACGUCGACCUUCGUCUUGGCGUCGCUUGCUCAUCGUGCUCGUGGCUCGUGCUGACGUGUAUUUUCUAGUAAAAAAGGAAAAAUGCGGGUCGAGUUUCCAGCAGAAUUCGAACCUGUCUCGAAGUUCACCUGAGCUUAGCGCAACACCUUCUCUUCCGCUCCCUCAAUUCCCCCCACCUUCUCUUCUUCUGUUCGAUCUUAUCCGUCUCUCUCGACGAUGGCAGCUUCCAGCUCCGGCGGUUCAAUCCUAGUGUCCGGCAAUGCUCAUAGAUCCCGCUUGCAUGAUGCGAUUUCUCCGAAUCUCUGUCUCCUCUCCCGUCCGUGUCAUUUCUCGCCUCUUGAAUUUCUCUUGCUUUGGGAUUUGCAGAGGCCGUUCAGCUCCGGUCCGGGUCACUUUUCAUUGAUGUUGUAUGGUGUAAUAUACUAAAUUAAGGACACUACAAAUGCUACAAUUUUUGUAUGGUGCUCACCUGAGUGUCAUUUUUCUUUUUUAAUCACUUGAGUGCCAUAAUUUUAGUACAACACUUACUUGUGAGCGGUUACUUUUUUUCCAAUCUCUUGAAUAUCAUAUAACUUUUUAAUUGAUCACUUAAAUGUCAUAAUUUUUUUUAAAUGUUUACCAAGUGUCAUGCCAUUUCGGAUUUUCGACAAUUGGGUAAACUUUUUUUAAAAGUUUUGGCUAGUGAUCGAUUGAAAGUUAUGGCACUUAAACUGAAUGUUUUUGUUAGAAAUAAUGACAAUGAAAAUAAAACGUUAGGGGACUCAAGUGAAAACAGUACAAAAAUUAUAACACUUGUAAUGUUCUUAAUUCCAAGUUUGUGAGUUUAGAUUCAAUAUAUCUCACUCUUGUCAUUAAAUAAUACUUAAAUUUCAAAAAACAAAAUUUGAAAGCAAAGGUCUUUUCUAAAAUCUUAUAGACCAUUGCCUAUUUUCUUAGUAAUUCCUACUUCUAAAUAUAUUUGGUGAGUUCAGAUUCAAUCUAGCUCACUCAUGUCAUUAAUCGAUAUGAAUAGUACCCUUUUGACUCUCCUCUUUUUACUUAUUUUUUCACCAUUCUUAUUAAAAAGAUCUAAAAACUGUUCUCUCCUCUCUUUAAGUCAGAAGUAAUCAUACUCUUUUGCUUGAGUCAAGCUUUUCAAGUCAUUAGUGCAUAGACCAAUAAAGAAACUUUGAAAGUGUGGAAAUAAAUGCAAACAUAAAUAAUGGGUUGAGUCCAUGUACUUCUCAAGUUAGGGCUUAAAAUAUAUCCACUCAGUCACAUAAAGCUUUUAUAUAUUUUGUUGACACAUGAACUUUAACUACCCCACUCAAUUCUUCGCCACAUUGAAAAUAAGAUGUUGACCCCAAUUCCAAAAUAAAAAUACUACUUGCAUAAUUCACAUUUACCAUUUAUUUAUGUCAUGAACCAUAUCCGAGUCACAUGGCUCUUAGAUGAGGUUAUCAUGAAUGGUUGCGCACCUGAACGAAGUGUUAUAGCCAACCAUAUAAAAAAAAUAAAAAAUUACUCUUAUGGAUUGUCCUUAGCCAAAUCAAUUUAACAUCAACAUCCAAGUCUUAAACAAGGACCAAGUCUUAAACGAUAAGAACAGAUGAAGACAAACCGCAAUAAAUUAGUGGGGCAACUUGCUAGUUUUCUUGUUAGAUGUAACAUCAAAGUCCCACAAAAUUCAAUUUUGAUCGGCCCGCAAUAAAACCGCUUCUAUGAUAGUUGAUUUCCAUUAACGCUUUGACUUACUUGAAUAGAUAUUUCCACUGCAAUUGCCGGUCAUGACUUUUAACAAAAGAACGGACAACACUGAUGGGCCUCAGCCUCCAAUUCCCAAAAUCCAGAUUUAAUUAGUAAAAUCCAUCAGCAAAUUAAGGGAAAAUUUCAAAUAAGGACCCAAAGUGAGCCUAUUUUCUCAAAUAAGGACUCAAAAUGGCUAACAAGUCUCAAAUAAAAACCUGAACUUGCCGACUGGCCAAAAUGUUCACUAGCCAAUGAGAGUGUGACAUUUCCGAUGGCCGGAAUAUGGGCAAUUUUGUCAAAAAAAAUAUAUAGAUAGAAAUUUACAAACCCUAAAAACCACCCUCCAAACUCUUCACGUUAUUUUUGACCUAAAAAGAAAAACUCUUCAUGUUCUCACUUUUUUCUUCUUUUGCUCUUGAUCUUCUCUGUUCUUUGUCCUCUCUCAGUUGGAGCAUGGAAAUAUUUUGUUAGUGAAACACAAAUUGAAACACAACAAGAAACCCCUACCUUCGUUUCUUCACAUCUUAUUCUUUUGUUUUCUGUCUCCGUUUCUUUCUAACGAAGAAGAAAAAUCUUGAGUAAAGCCACCUUUUUCAUUAUUGAGACACUCGUGUGUAACAUGAGGGCCUCGAUUCUUCAUUAUCUUUUCCUAGGUUUGCCAUACAUUUUGAGUCACACUCCCGUUCAACCGAGGUCAGUUUCGUUCAAAUUGAGAGAGAGAGAGAGAGAGAGAGAGAGAGAGAGAGAGGGGGGGGGGGAGGGAGGGAGGGCACGUACCUUUGGAACUCAUGAGAGAAUUUGGUUUCUCCAAAUGAGAGGGGACAGAGAAUGUAAAAGAUGAAGAGCGGAAGAAGAAGAACAUGAAGAGUUUGAGGGUUUUGUUUUUAGGGUUUGUUAAUUUCUAUCUAUAAUUUUUUGGGACAAAAUUGCCCAUAUUCCAGCCACUGGAAAUGUCACACGCUUGCCGGCUAGUGAACAUUUUGGCCGGCCGGUGGGUUCAAGUCCUUAUUUGAGACUUGUUAGUCACUUCGGGUCCUUAUUUGGAACAAUGAUCACUUCGAGUCCUUAUUUGAGAAAGUAGGUUCACUUUGGGUCUUUAUUUGAGAUUUUCCUGCAAAUUAAUAGAAAUAAUUUUUUUUCUUCAAAUUACUAAUAUGUCUUUGAUGUUGAUCUACCCAAAUAUCUUUGGGAGAUUUUCGUUUGAAAAAUGUUAGUACCCCUAAGGCACUCGUCAAUAGUCAUUAAUUGUGCUUUGAUAAUAUUAACAUUACGAUAUGUUCGUAAUGGAUGCAAUUGAAAUGCACACCCGAAACAUAGCUAAAUUAUAUUGCAGUCUUCGACACUAUCAACAUGAUAAACCUCACUAAAAAAUUUCCACAAAUUCCAUUCCCAACAGCAGUCUAAUAUCUGCAUGCCGAGAGACGUCAAAAGAAACAAAAUAAUUCGAACUCAGGAAAAAAAAUGUCAAAAUACAGAUGGAACUCUCAAAAACCAAGGUCGUCUGAAAAUUGACUGCGUUAAAUACUCAUUAAAAACAUGCUUUUAACCAAAAAAUGAACCGGCCUCACUACUUAUCUUCCUUCUCGGCAUCAGCGGCCUUUUUCAUCCUCGCGCCCAUGUGACGUUUGUUCAAGCGCUCCACUCGAAGCUUGGCAUAUGCGUUGAAUGAUUUCAUCUCAUCUGUGACCUCCACAAGUUCCACCGCUGGCUUCUCUCUUACAAUGGGCAGGUAAGUUCCUUGGACUUGAGUUGCAUUUGCAAGCUCUUCUGGAGUAGAAUCACCAGCCUGCAUGGAGAAGGAAGAUGAGAUGUUUUCAACAAGAACAAGGAUCGCACAAUAUUGAUAUGAAUUUUGUAAGUAGUCAAUUUACCUUGAAUUUCCGUGCGCGUCUUGGGAAGACAACUAGCUUCGCUUUGUAUGUCUUCAGCCUCUGCACAUUUGCAUGUAGACCUUCCAGUGACUGAUUGGCGAUGAUCAACUGCAAUUCCAAUUGUUGGAGCUAAUUUCUUCGGGAUACCUGCUGCCUGAGACGUGCAAAAUGCAAGUUAAGCACGAGGCUUGCACCGGAUGCUGAAAACUGUAAAAGGAUAUCCUUGAAGGAAAGAGCAAUCAGGGAAGGCGUUUUCGUUAUCAUAAAAAUACUAGCUAUAGUAAUUCCAAACCUUUGUGAAAAAAGCAUGUUUAGUAAAAAUGAAAACAUGCCAACUUAACAGACAGAAUAAGGAUGAAACAAUGAAAAGGCUAAAAAAAAAGCGCCACGUUCCAUUUAAAGAGCUAAAUGAAGCGAAGGACGCAAGUCUACGUGGAACCUGCCACUCCAAUAGCCGAAUGUGACUUUGACCACAGCUAGGAGUAAUAUACCAGUAAAACAACACGGGCAUUAACAAUGCUUCAUAUGCAAAAAUGUGGUGAAAAUAAUGCUGGCGGUCUGAGGGGACCUGCUGUUGGCCGUGGGAAAAUCUUCACAGCAUUCUUUUGCCGAGCUGGGCACAAAAUAAAGAGCAUCAGAAUGCUCUGAUAAUAAGAAUGGCAACCAAUGAUUUCACUUCGAUAGCUAGGUAAGUAGUUGAAUAACCUAGGCGCCUUCUAGCCUUUCUCGCAGGCUGGUUAAACCAGGUCUCGACGUAAUUUUGCCAGUGCUUUCUGAAGUGCCCAUUUGGCACAACAUUGUUAUGUUUAACCAUGACUUACCUAAAAAGAAAAAGAAAAAAAAAGACAAAGUUUUUAAGGUUGAGAUGGACCUGAGAUGUGGAUAUAUCUUAUCAGCAAAAGCUAUCAGACAGUCAAUACAUGACAGAUUGUGAUCCAAACACAUUAACGAAAAGUACAGCAAAUUUGUUAUACAACUUUAUAGUUGUAUAUACAGAAAUUAACAGCAAGAAGAAGACACUAAUGAGAUUAUACAACCUUAUAGUUGUAUAUACAGAAAUUAACAGCAAGAAGAAGAACAAAAAUAGUUAAAAGAUGUAUAUACAGAAAUUAACAGCAAGAAGAAGACACUAAUGAGAUUAUACAACCUUAGAGCUCGAGAGUGUUUGUUUUGUGGAAAAUGAUUAGUUUGAAAAUUAUUUUCUUAAAAAUGAUCGCUUGUAUUGCUAAUAAAAAAAAUAAACAAAAAAUAUUUUAUUAUUCACGAAAAUGUUUAGAUUUAAAUUGUUAUAGGUAAUGAAAAUAGUUUUCAUUGACUAAUUAUUUUAAGCGAUACAAGUAAUUAUGUUUAAGAAAAUCUUUUUCCAAAUCAUUAAUUUUUUGCUAGAAAAAAAUGGAGCCUUAAUUAUAGUUAAAUUUUGUGAGUGCUAACCAUAGAAUUAGAUGAAUCAACAUGGAAGGAAAAAAAAAAGAUGAAUAGAAGGUCUAGAAUAACGGAAGAUAUAUAAAGGCCUACUAGAGAAUGAAGCAAGAUGAAUAUGUUGAAAGAAAAAUUGAGCAAAUAGAGUGGAAAUUGGAGCUCAAAUUCUCCCGCCGGCUUGACCAUUAAUUCCGAUCAUGUUAUAUUCUUUUCACAUCUUUGCACAGAAGAAAGUGGAUCAAACUUGAGAGAGGAAAAAAAAAGUCAAUAGAUUAAUCACUAACAGCACUUACCAACAAGGUACAUCAAGAUUUGACUUUAGGGUUCAUAUUUGUUGACUUUGAUAAUGGACGAGUUUAUCAAGAUCGAGGGCUCUAUUGUCAAGUAACAUUUUUCUAGAUGAUCUUACUAACAGGAAAAGGGCCAGUGACCUUCCUACAAGUUAACUUUUUCAUCACUUUAUCUUAAGGGUCAAGAUUUGAACCAUGGAUCUCUUCUACUUUAAAGAGGAAAUAUAUAGUUAGGAUAUAUCCGAUGUUUAUAGAUGGAAUCCCAACAUAGAGUAAAGUUGAAGCUUUUCUUCUGUUUUAAGGGUUCCUAGUUGAGUUGGGGAGAUAUUGUGCUUUGAAUAUAAACUUCGUAAAGCUAAACAUUCUUAGGAACUAUGAGAAUCAAAGAUAUCCAAAAGUAAUGGAACUGAGCAAUUCCGAUUUAUUGAAAUCCUCAUUUUGCAGUUGAUGAUGAAUAUCUCAACUACAUGAAUGACACAAUGCAUGCAAUGAUAACAAGGUAGGUGAAGUACCAACAUGCGCACAUGAUGUUUGGGAAGAAAACGUCAAGUUCUAUGUAGGAAUUUUAGAAAAGACAAUUAAUAAUAAGUGUAUUCAAGAAACAGCUCUAGUGAUGUCAAUGGAGUCUAAGAUUGAGACUGUUAUGAUAUGUGGAAUGAUGACUGUAGACCACCUAAUGAGAAGAUACAGGUUUGUGAUGGGUUAACGAGGAAAAGAGGAGUAAAAAGGAAAAUAUAGACAUAGGUUUUAUGGAAAAAUCUUGAGUUUGUUCGUCUUAUUCAAGACUACAAUACUAAAUUGAGGUCUAGGAAGAGGGUAAAAACUUGUUAUCCUUCAAACUUUCGGUAGCAUUGUUGAGAUAUAUUAGACAGAAAGAAAUCAUAGCAAAAACAGAACUAAGUUUUUAUUUGACCGGACAUAACUCGAAAGCAAGCACCUAAAUACAUAAUUUUCGAAGGUGGAAUAAUUUUUCUUAUUUUGAGGUAACUUCUAUGUACAAUUCAUAUCCCAUAUGGCAUAACAUACGUUGAAAGGUUAGUGUUUCAAUUGUAUGAAUUUCUUUGAUCUGGACUCCCCUUGUUUCCAAAGAAAAAUUAACAAAUUCAUGUGAUACAACUAAUGUGGCCCCAAACAGCAAGAGAUACCAUAAAAUCAACAAUCACAAAAUGAGUUGAGUAAUAAAAAGUAUUAGUUGUACAUACAUACUGCCAAAACUCAUACAAACUAGACUUCCAAUAAUGAGAACGGUAAACUAUUUAAGAAUGUGAAAUACCACAUUUACUGGGAGCCUAAUCUGUAAUAAGAAAUCAAAUUGCAGCUUCACUCUCCACACGCUGUGCAAUAAAAGGACUCUAAACUAGUUUUGUUAUUAUUCUGCCCUCGUCUAGUUACAUAAAUUUUUUAGCUAGGACAAUAAAGAGAGACUCAAAAAACACAUAUUGCGUUACAGAUUUAGAAUGAUUAGGAGAUCAGCAGCAACAUAUUGAAUUGACUCUUGCUUUAACUGCCCCUUCACUACCUAAAAUGGAUGCUUCAUCAAAAAUAUAUUUAUAUAAGCUAAUCACUUCUAUGUAACAAUUUUUUUUUUUGGAAUUUAGCAAUGAAGGUGUAUUGGGCCAGCUUUCGCACGCCUCAAUUAAUUCACUUUUCUAGACGAUAUUAAGAGCACGCUCCUACAUAUCGACUGUUGCAUUUUGGAUUUUACUUGUAAAGUGCCUCCAGGAAGGCUUGAUACUCAAGACCACAAGGAGAGGAGAAACCUUUUAAACCAUCUAAAUCAGUUGUUUCUGUGUAGCAAGUACAAGCGCCCAAACUUAUUAAAAAAAUGAUAAUAUUAGACAAGAUAAAGUGAAUAUUAUAUUGAAUAAUUCUGUUGAUAAUGCAUGGUCUGCACAAUAUUAUGUUAAAACGUAUGGUUUUUCAAGAUCCAUGUGUCGAUCACGCUAUUUUCAGAUCUCCGAAUGAUAUCAAAAAAAUACAUCCCAAUGCCUCUUUUCACACAUGGCAUACGAUGUAAGUAUCGCGAACUUCCAUCGAAGCAACCGGCCAUUGCUAUCUAUAAAAGCUUCUCAAUGGCACUUUACCUAGCACGUAUUAACCAACUCCAGCAACGAACAAAAGUCAUGGAAUCCUUACUCUAUGCACUUCUUUUUCGGAUCAUCCUUCUCCUAAUGAUCCAUACUUCACUUGCUAAGCCACUAUGCCAUCCGGAUGAGAGCUCUGCCUUGAUGGAAUUCAAGCGAAGUUUUCGAAUCACCACAGCAGAAUUUCAAUGUGUUUGUCCAACGGUUGAAUCGUGGUUACCAAAUGGACAUGGAGAUUGUUGCUCAUGGGAUGGGGUUGAGUGCAACGAGGCCAGUGGUCACGUGACAGGCCUUGAUCUAAGUAGCAGUUGUCUCCUUGGUAACAUAACUUCCAACACCAGCCUCGUUCGCCUACUUCACUUGGAAUCACUCAAUCUCUCUUUCAACGACUUCAACUCUUCCUCAAUCCCAUACGGUUUUGGCAAUCUUUCCAGGUUACAGUACCUUAAUCUCUCUGGUUCAGAAUUUUCCGGGAAAGUCCCCUCAAAUAUCUCACAGCUCUCGAGAUUAACUUCUCUUGACUUGUCUUCUAAGUGGGCAUCUCUAGAGAUGCCUAGCAUAGAAAACUUUGUUCAAAACUUAACUAUGCUUAGAGAACUUGAUCUCUCUAUUAUAAGCAUGCCAUCACCAUUCCCCCAUAUACUUGCGAACUUCUCUUCUUUGAAGUCGCUUGUAUUGAGAAAUUGUGGAUAGCAUGGAGAAUUUCCAGUAAGCAUCUUUCAAUUACCAAAACUGGAAGUUCUCGACAUCAGUUACAAUGACAAUCUUUCUGGUUUUAUUCCUGAACAACGGUAAUCCCCUGAAAUCGUUGUCUCUUGGGGGCACGAUUUUCUCAAGUUCACUUCCCUCUACGUGGAAGUAAAUUUAUGGGUCAAAUCCCCGCUUCCUUCACUAAUCUCACCAAGCUAUCAUAUCUAGACCUCUCUAAAAAUAAUUUCACAUGUGGUAUUUCUCAUUGGCUUGUCGACUUGCCAAAACUCAACUAUUUGAACCUUUCAGGUAAUAUUCAAUUAGCAAGUUUUUUUUUUUUUUAAGAAAAAGAAAUGGAAACGACAUGAUUCGAUCGCUAGCUAUACUAACAAGUUUUGUCUCUCUACACUUGGCAGUUAAUCAGCUCAAUGGUGCACUUCCAUUUUCAUUUGAGAACCUAACAUAGUUGGUUUGACUUGACCUUUCAUUCAACAACUGGCAAGGUGAAAUUCCAAACUCCUUAUGGGAACUCGAGGAUCUUGAAUAUUUGGCACUUCGACACAAUAAUUUGAGUGGCACUAUGGAUUUAAACAAACUCAAGAACUUGACAACAUUGCUUUUGGACUUCAACAACAUAUCUUUUGUCAGCAACACUGAGGUCAAUGCUACUCUUCCAAAACUUUCGACCUUAAGUUUGGUUUCGUGCAACUUGCAUGAAUUCCCAAGGUUUUUAGGCUACCUAAAUGGAUUGGAGUGGGUAGAUCUGUCAAACAAUAAAAUCAAAGGGAGUAUUCCUACAUGGAUGUGGAAUGGUAGUAAGGAAACAUUGAUGAAUAUGGAUCUUUCUCACAAUUUUCUAACUGACUUUGGGAGCAGCCACAUAAAUCUGCCAAUGCCCCAAUUGACGUAUAUGGAUCUUUCUCACAAUCUACUCACUAGCUUUUUGAACAAGCAAAUCAAUCUAGCAUUGCCCAUGUUGACCUAUCUUGACAUUAGUUCUAACUUGCUCAAAACAACGCUUCCUAGUCCACCUCUGUUAGCAAUAUAUUACAAUAUCUCCAACAACAACCUCUUCGGAGAAAUUCAAUCAAUUUGUAGAGUCAGAUCCCUUGUCAUUCUUGAUUUGUCCAUCAACAGUCUGAAUGGCACAAUUCCUUCAUGUCUAGGAAAUAUUGAUUCUUUGACAAUUUUGAAUCUUGGGAGAAAUAAACUUGAGGGCAUGAUUCCUAACGGUUACCUAAAAGUUUGUGUGUUGAAGAUUAUUGACCUCACAAAUAAUCGAUUGCAAGGGCCUAUCCCAAGAUCUUUGAUAAACUGUCCAAUGCUAGAGUAUUUGAACCUUGGUUACAAUCAAAUUCAUGAUGGGUUCCCUUCAUGGCUAUCGAAAUUGACAAAGUUGAGAGCUAUUAUCUUGAAAUCCAAUAAGUUUUAUGGUCCAAUAGAAACAUAUCAAAGCCAGUUUAACUUUAGCAAUUUGCAUAUCAUGGACCUUUCCAACAAUGCUUUCAUUGGUGAACUUCCAUCUAAGUUGUUGCAGAGUUUCCACGCCAUGAAAGUGAUUGUUAGUCAAGACCAAUUGGAAUAUAUGAAUACUUCUCAAGGGCUCCCUCUGUCCUUGGAAACAUAUGAAAAAAUCAUGGACUAUGAUAUGAAAUUGAUGAGUAAAGGCACGGAGAAUACACAAAGGUUCCAUAUGCCCUUAAGGGAAUUGACCUCUCCAACAACAAAUUUGAAGGAUGCAUACCCGAUUUCAUUGGAGAUUUGAAGUCACUUGUUUUGCUUAACCUUUCCAACAACAUUCUCACUUGUUUCAUUCCGCCUUCCUUGGAAAAUUUGAGAGUUUUUGAAUCUCUAGAUCUUUCUCGAAAUAAGCUCUCAGGAGAGAUCCCACAACAGCUUGCCCAGCUUACAUUUCUUUCAUUUAUCGAUGUCUCUCAUAAUCAAUUGUUUGCACCAAUACCACGAGGGAGUCAGUUCAACACAUUCGGGGCCAGUUCAUUUGCCAUGAAUGAGGGGUUAUGUGGAAGUCCUUUGCCAAAAAAAUGCACAACAAUUGGGGAUGACAUACCAUUACCAACAUCAACACUAGGGGAAAAAAAUGGCGACAAGUCUCUGUUUGACUUGUAUUGGAAAGUUGUGCUAAUCGGUGCUGGAGUUGGCUUUUUGAUUGGUGUUGUGUUAGGGAACUUUAUCAUUGACGAGAAGAGUAGGUGGUUUUUGUACUACUCGCGGAUAAUGGCAAAAGGAUGGAAAACAUCAAGAAGGUGUUGAACAAUAAAGAGUUGCAAAUGCAAUUAGAUUACAUGACACGAAUUAGUAUUAAUCAUCAUGUAUCUAGUUUGUAUUAGACACAGGAAAAACACCAUCGAUGUAUAAAUAAAAUUUCACAUACGUAGUUUCAUCCAUCCUUGUUUUAAAGGGUCGUGACCAUUGGCUCUCUCCGAUCAAUGGUGUGCAAUGCUGCUUGUGUAAAAAAAAAUUAUCCCACUAGUGUAAUUACUUAAAAUAAUUAUAAUAUGAUUUUUAGGAAAGUAAAAUCUCACUUGUUUGAUUCAUGUUGAACGAGUGUUUUCCAUUAGUUAUUAUAUGUAAACGCUAUUUUCUUGUUCGUUAUGUUGCAUUAUUGAUUAUAUUAUAUGAUUUUUAGGAAAAUAAAAGUUCACUUGUUUGAUUAAUAUUGAACGAGUGUUUUCCAUUAGUUAUUAUAUUAAACGUUGUUUUCUUGUUCGUUAUUUAUCCUUCUAUCUGUUUUUCCUAAAAAUCAUAUUAUACAGUCAUAUAAUGCAACAUACAUUGGCAAUCCACGUUCUAAUGUAUGUUGUGUUUAUGUGCCAAGCAGUAUAUAUAUAUAUAUAUAUAUAUAUAUAUAUAUAUAUAUAUAUAUAUAUAUAUAUAUAUAUAUAUAUAUAUAUUUUUUUUUUUUUUUUUUUUUUUUUUGGGUCGGCUUCUUGGCUGUAACAUUAGCUACUUAUACAAUCUAAUUGUGGAAAGCUACUAAAUAUUGGAGCCCGUGGACAUGGUAGAGACAAGAAGAAAAAUAUGAACUCAUUUAUUUGCAAUUUAUUCAUUAAACAAUAAAAAGUGAUGGAUUGUUACUCUUAAACACCAAUUUAUUUGACGAAGAGAUUCCUUAACUUUUCACUUAGAAGAACGAAUGCUACAUUUGGCCGGCUUAGCCGCCGGUAAAAUAAAUAAAAAAUAAAAAUAACAAUUACAGAAAGGUGUGGAUGUGAUAAAAUAUGCUACCCAACAUACUAAUAAAAAUAAAAUAUGCUACCCAACAUACUAAUAAAAAUUAUACCAAAAAGAAAUUGACCUCCUAAUACAUGUUUUGUUUGAAAAGAUGCAAUGAAAAUCCCUUACUAUAUUUUUUAUCAAUUCAAAUUAUCCAAACAUGUUAAAUGGUUUUGCCGGACUCGCUUUCCAAACAUGUUAAAUGGUUUUGCCGGACUCGCUUUCAAAAUGCUAUUCAUUCCCACAGAAAACGAAAUAUGUGAUGAUUUAAGCUUGUUAAAUGCUUUUUCCCCUUGGUUCCAAAUUUCAAUUAUUGAAUUUAAUAAAAAGAACAUGUAAUUAUUUUAGUCAUAGAAACUUGGAUCCUCCUCAUUAAAUUGCCUAUUAACUAAUAAAAUAUCUAAAUAAAAGAAGACUAUUAAUUAAAUCACUUUUAAAUGAAGAUUGUAUAAUUUGUUUCAUUUAUUAAGAAACUCAAGUUUGACCCAAAAGUUCAGGUUCAUCUUUCUCGCGAGACUCUUCCCACUUCUCGAGAGGGAAGAAAGGUCUCUUCAAUUUCUACACGGUGAAAGGAAAUAACAAAAUCAAGGAGCGAAAUAAUAUUGGAUUAGGAAAAGCUGGCAAUUUCUCCAUAGACCAGAGAAAAAAAUUAAGGUUAAAAAACACACAAAUAUAAAGAAUUGAAAAAUGAUUUGUGAGGCUUUUUUUAAAUUUCUUUCCCGAGAAUCAAGAGAAACAUAUACGAAACUCAAAGAGACAAGAUAUCGAUGGAGGAUUUUUCUCUCACGAUAAUAUUUUAUUUUAUUUUUUUGCAAAUUUGACUAAUAAGAGAUUAUUGCAUUAAUUUUUAUACAAGAAAAUCAUAAAAUUAAAAAUAAAUAUUUAGUUGUACCAAUUAAUGGCGAAUUAUAUUUAAAUAUAUUUAAAAAAAAACUCGUCAAAAAUAGUAAAACAGAAGUAAAAUGAGUCAUAUAACCUAAGUUACAUCAAUGAUAAAAAAAAAAAAUGAGGAUGUGUUAAGACUCUUCAAAAUCCAAAGAAACCUUCAAAGUCAACCUCAAAAGCCACUCAAGUUGGUGGUGAUGUUGACAAAGUUGCCGAGUUAAAACACUCGCAAGACGUCCGAUAGGGCCAAUACAUGCGUGCAGAUCACAUAAAAAAUAAUCAUAUAUCGCUACAACUAGUUACAACCAAAUGAUGCAGGUUUUUCAGGAUCGGAAGGAUUUCACCUACCUGCAAAAACCUAUAAUGUAGACGUCCGUUUCAAGAAUUCAAAAUCUAAGAUUUAUUUUGUAGGCUCUCCACUUGAAACCCUCAAUAUCGCGCAAUUUUUUUAUACCGAAUAUUACCUUUUACUUUUAGUUUUUUAUCAAGUUAAAAAUUGGCUAUGAUUUUAUCGAAAACUAACACAUUAAACCCAAAGAUGGCCAGAAAAAAAGAAGUAAUAAAAACAUAAAGGAAUGAAUGUAUCUGGUUUUUUUUUUUUUACUUUUGGCAUGGUCAAUCUCUAUACGAAGGGGAAGGGAGGGCGCCUUUAAGGGAGGGAAGAGGAGAUAGAGUGGGGAUAGAAAUGGGGUUGGAGACUCUAGUUAGCUAAGGCUUCAUGUAUUUAAAUGUAAAAAAUUGAACAUGAGUUAGCAAAUUAAUAAUUACAAAUCACAAUAAUGAACUCGAAUCCUAAAAAUUUCAUUUUGAGUAUUUAAGUCUUAAAACUAGAUACAUUUGAGUCUUUUCAUUAAUUAUGUCAGUCUAAAAUGGACAGAAAAUGUCAAUAUGACUUGUGUCAAUUAUUUUUCCAAUCCUAAGCGUCCUUUGUUAAAAAAAAAAAUUGCAAUGUAACUUUUUCAUCCACUAAAGCCUAAAAGAGCUACACUAUGAGUAGUUUUAUGACGUAAAUGCAUGGAAUGAAAGUAUUAGGACCAAAGAGAACACUUGCAGUAAUUGCCCCAACAGUUAACUACAUUUUACGGAAUAAAAGGAGUACGCCGAAAUUUUUUGGAUCCUAUGACCUUUAUAAUCUAUGCUGAAACUUAUCCAAUCAUGCUAGUUCCCAUAUUCUCUUGUACUUCUCUAGUUGCAACUUGCAAUCGGUCAUUGCAGGCAUCUCAUGGUCCUGUCAAGCGAGCCUUGAAUUGCAUCAUGACUCAAUAUGAGAAUCCACAAUUGCGUCUUGCCCCUCAAAUUAGCAUACUAAUAUGAUGAGAUGAGAACCCAAGUGUGUUGAUUUUUAUUAUUCGUUGACAAGGAUAGGUUGGAACGAUCCUACUAAACUUAGAUGCAGCUUCCAUGAAACAAAAGACCAGUGAUUUCACCGGCAAUUGCAGUUGGUUCCUGAGUUCUUCCAACUGCUUAUAAUUUGAAUCUAUUCAAUUCCUGAUCGCCAACUUCUUGCAAUUCCUUCCUAGUGUGUUUGGAUAUAGAAAUUAGCAUAUUUAUAUGAUAACAAUGUGGCGUCAAGUUCAACAACUAGAGAUGCCAUAAAAUCAACAAUCACAACAUGAAUUGAGUAAUAGAAAGUAUUGGUUGUAUAUACUCACUGCCUAAACAAAUUAGACGUCCGCCAUAAUGAGAAAUGUAAACUAUUUAUGUAUGCCAAAUACUAGCUCCGCUGGUACCCACUGUAAUUAGAAAUCAAAUUGCAGCUUCACUCUCCAUACAUUCUGUAAUAAAAGGACUCUAAACUAGUUCUGUUGUUUCUUUCCCAGUCAUCUAGUCACGUGAUGAGAUAAGCUAGGACAAUGUAAGAGAGAUACUCAAUUCACAUCUCACAUCACAAAUUCAGGAUGAUUAAGAGAUCAACCACAGCAUUUUGAAUUGCCUCUUGCUUGAAUUUCCCCUUCACUACAUAUAUCCCGCUAUUCCACACAGAAUCAAACACUUGCUGAGCAAACGUUUCUCUCUUUUCUGCUAAUUACAAAUAUAUAACAAGAUCUUGCAGUUACAUUAGUAGCAGAUUCCUAUAUGGCAAGGUGACAAAAAAUGGCUUUUCCAAACUACCUAUAAAUAUAAAUGAGGGGAAGGCCCAGCCUUUUUCCAUAUUGUAAAGCAAGCCAACCAGUAAAAGAUACAUAUGCCACAAACAAACAAGCACGCUUUAAUCGGUUUGCACUAACUGUGCAAGGCAGGUUCCUGGUUGGAUGUGACCGAUGCCGAGAUUUGAUCUGUUGAAAAAGUCUGAUAAAACUCAUUGAUAUUAAGGAGGUUGAGAAACCAGUAACCACCCCAACAAUGGUUUCCCAUUUCCAAUAUUUAGCCCUGAUCUUGCCAGUUACCCAGGAUUUGAAAAUCUCCAAGAACCUGACAAUGCACAGGCCACGUUAAGUAAUAUAGAAACCACAAUGUAAGUAAGAGACAACAAAUGAAUAUGUACAGCGAAAUGUAAUUUAAGGGCAACUUUGAAAGGAGAUGGAAAUGCGGCAUUUGGAAGGUCACAUAAUGGUGAAUAUGAUCUUUUGUGAACCAGAAAAAAUUCAGAUGUUGUAUUCUAAAAGUUCAGUAACAGUUGAUCCGUAAGCAGAUGAGACAGUAAUCUCAAUUGCAUUUGGGCUUCAGAUAAAGAAGAAAUUACAGCACAAUCAGAUGUACAUGGUACAUGGCAAUGUUGGCCUGCAAUGAUUCUUGGGAGUUCUGUAUUAGUGACCAUUUAUUACAGCAUUAUGAUUAGCAGGCAACUCAAAUGAAAAACAGUCACUGGUCAAUUCAAACAGAGAAGAACAGUAUACUUCAAAAUAGUUGCACAGCUGGACUAAGACUGCAAAAGUGAACUAAUUUCAGACAUGCCAAGAUCCUUCAUAUUUUAGAAAGACACUGAACCAAACAGAAUGAAAUAGUGGCAAUUUGACCAUUAUAAACUACGUGAUUAAUGCAAGAUUUUAAAAGUCGGAUUGGACUGGCCAGUUCUACUGAUUGGCCAAGGUUAGAUAUCCAGUCCAGACCACCAAUCCAUGAGUGGUUGAAAUCAGAUUGAACCAAUGUUGACCUCAUUCAACUUAGGCAGCCCUUGCUUGGCAGUUUGCUGAGAGACCACAUUCCACUUUGUUACCAGAACAGACAAGAGACAUUUCAUGCUACACACAAGCCAAGGUAAUAAAUGCAAAUUGCAGUGCUGGACGUGGUUCAAACUACUGCUCAGUAGAUCAUGCAUUGCUUCCAACACUUUCAUCCACCAAGCCAAACUCCCAUGCGGUCAUAACUUAAAGUAUAAAAGAAUAUUAAGAUGGCAGUACCAAGAAACAUCUAAAUGACCAUGACACAAGCCAGUCAGGGUCUGGUUUAAAAUAGUGCAGUUAUUUUCAGCACACAGGAAGUGCCAACCCUUUUGCUGUAACAUUCCUAAUACACAAAAAGGAAAGGAGGCGCAGAAAAGGAAUCGAGUACUCACAAUAUAUAGUAUCUCCUCAUCAUCUCCAUUGCAGAUGGAUCUUUGGCUUGACAACUGAAGAAGUCAUCAUGAUAGAUGCUUACUUUGGAAUUGCUAGAUGCAUACCAGCAGUCAUAAGUAUUAUUCACCUAAAACCAGUGUGAGAAUAAGUAACGAAGUUGUGCAAUCAAAAAACACAUACAAAAGGAACCACAACAAUCCCAAUGAAAUAAACAUAAUAUCAGGAUGAUUACAAAAACCUACAUAUAAUGGUUUGAAUUUAGCUGAUAGCACAAAUGUUAAAAAGGUGCAUUUGUUACCUUAAAUUUAUCUUUGGUCAACCAAGCAACCCCAAAACCAGGUCUGCAAUCAGCAGGAAGGGCCUCGUUUGGGGCCUCUGCAAGUGCUAAUUGAGUCUGACCUGAUAAAUGAUCCUUAUAUUCUACCUGCAAUUGUAAGAAGGUGCAAAAUAGUAAUGUAAAUUCGGCAGUCAGUAAAUGUGGUAGCUUUCUUUUCCUAUAACUGCAAUUGCCAUUCUUUUACCUCUACCUGCAAUUGUAAGAAGGUGCAAAAUAGUAAUGUAAAUUCGGCAGUCAGUAAAUGUGGUAGCUUUCUUUUCCUAUGAUUUUAAUUGCCAUUCUUUUACCUCUUCUGAGUUAAACUAAGAUACUUAGCCUGAUAAAAACAUCUGUAAUCUCUAUCUAUCUAUGCAUGGAGCACAAUUGAUUAAUGACUACAGUAAAAGUUCAUAAACACUCAUAUGCACCAAUUCCCAGGAAUGCCUGAUUUGGAAGAAGCAUAACAAGGCACUUACUCAAGCUAAGAAGAGCCAACAAAUUGCUAUCAGAGUUAAUUCCAAACUAUACAAACCAAAACACCCAAAGUACAGACAUACACAACCCCAACAUAUGUUCAAUCUUAAAUGAACAUCAAAAGGAUCAGAUUAGAACUGAGUGACUGUUUGAAUAAGAAGACUGAACAAAUAGAAACAAACCAGCAAACUAUGUCUGAUGCUUUUGCCAAUUUUGUCAACUAUAUGUUUAGAUCAAGCUGACUUGGUUCAUUUUCACUAUGAUAACAAGUCUCUUUAUUAAAGUAAGAUUGGUGAAACUAGGCAAUUAGUAAAUUAAGUGUCUCUAGAAAUACUAUGGGAAACCGGAUUUAACAUCAAAUGAUUCAACAAUCCAUUCAAGGUACAAUUUAUCAAAUCUAAACACAAGGAGGGCAGUUGCCGAAGACAGGUUUAACCUAAUCAAACAGAUUUUACCACCCCCUUCUCCUCUUCCCACCUUCAUCCAAAUCAUAGAAGAGUUAAACUUUCAAUCUCUUUUUCAUUUUUAUCUAGAAUGAUUCUUUUAACUUUUAUUUAUCUCAAGUGCAGCAAGAAUACUCACUUCCAUGAACAUUUCUAAACAGGUUCAAACUUCAUUGUAUCCAAUGUAUCAACUAACAUGCAAAUGCCUUUUCAGCUUCACAACAGCUCAUAGUAUUCUUACAUUUGAACACUAUUUUUGCAGAAUCAAUACCAGCUCAUUCACAAGGUUCCCCUGUGACUUAAAGAAUGAUAUGGCAUUCAUAAAUAUAUCGGCACGUGACGUUGUUAAAUAAUUGACAAAAUGACAAUGAGCAUAGAGUGAAAUUACUAUAACUAUAUUUCCUUAAUUGACAUUCAUAGCUAAGAAAGACAGUAAAAGGUUGAUUAUGAUAAUAGCACAAAUGACUUAACAAGUAGUUCCUUCGACACAUGCUUGAUUCCUAAUUAGUUGAACCUCCAUAUAAUAAGUGAUGGAAACAUAAGAUUCAUUGCGCACUCAAAUGAAUGAAAAGAUAGCUUCUACUGGUCAUGCACAACAUUAUCCAAUCUAAAACUCAACUUGAAAUGGCAUGGGCACACAGGGGUGUGCAAGCUCCUGCACUCAUGCGCAACAGAGAUGAGUAAAUCCUAGAUAGUACUCUAUAGCAUUACAAAUGUAUGUCAAAUAUUACAGACAUUUUAUCAGGCAGCUGUAUAGACAAUAAGAUUUAGGCUAGAGAAAAAUAUGCAGAUAACUAUGAAAAUUCCGCAGUUCCAGACAAAACAAGGCAACAAUGGAAACACCGAAGCUGAGCCUCAUUGGCCACGAAAGAUAACAGGGAUAACUGAAACUCCCAACAGACAAGAAAUGCACACUAAAAAACGGUAAUUACUCCUCAGAAGACAUAGAAUCACCUUAAAAACUGAAGCCCAAUAGUAAUCAUAAUGGCACCGGAAUUUCCUUUUCUCGGACGAGCUGAAGACAAUCUUGGCGUUAUAAUUCAACAGCCCAAGCUCGCAAACUUUAGACGACCUUAUAUCCACACCUGCAAGAAAAAAUUCAAAACUCAGCAUACGACACUCGAGCGCACAACACGACCGACAGUACGAAAACGAAACUCGCUACGUUUCAUUGAUCAAACGAGUCAUCACAUACUACAUCCUGUCUAUUUAUCAUCAUUAGCUAGCAGCUGAAGUAGCACAAAACGGCCAAGACGGUAACAAUCCACAACUUAGCUCAGCCAACUCGAAUGGUGAAGACCCGAAAGCAUGAGCAAUCAUUCAACGGAACUUACUGCUGGAGACGAUUUUGCACUGAGCAGGCAGCGACAUAGGGCUGGGGAUCGCGAAGUUACUGACGAGGAGGGCGACGACGCCGAUCACGAACGACGAGGAGAAGAAGAAGACGACGGGGAAAAGAAGAGCCAGGAACAAUCGGAGCAGUACGGAGAGAUUCCCGCUCUCGCCCGUCGCCCCGCGAUGAGGCGGCGGCGAGGCCGUGUCGCCGGCGGAGGGAUCCAUAGCUCCCGACGCCUUAUCCGGACGGCCGAUAUCGCGACACUACGCGCGACGGAGAAGCAUGGGGCGAGGAAACCCCGAAGCCCUCUCUGCGUUGGGGCCGACAGAUUUCGGAGGUAGCGAUCGGAGGGAAAGUCUCCGGCCGCCGUGGAACCGAGGGUUUUCCAUUCAUUAUCCCAAUGAUACGUAAUAGAAGAAGAUCUCAAAAGUCAUAAUAACAAACAAGCCCAUAAAAUUCCAAAACAAUCCAAAAAUCUAAAAUCAAUGCGUAUCAUUAGAGCAUGGUUGGCAUAAAUAAUCACAAGCUCAUGGUCUGUUACCGCAUUCAAGCAAAAAGGAUCGGUGGUCUAUCAUAAAAUCACACAAUGUCAUUAGUAAUAAGCACAUGUCAAGAUCUGCAUUCAUAGUUACGACUUUGCUUUUCAACGGCAUACACCUAGAUUCAAUGGUGAACAUCUAGAUUCGGCAUCCCUACACCAUCACCAUAUAAAAACAAAACAUGUUAAAGAAGAUCAGAUUUGACACUUGUGGGAGCAAGUUUUGUAGCCAAUGCAAAGUGCUAUAAGUUAAAUAAGCAUAUAUUUGACAUCAAAACUGUUGUGAACACUAUUUAAACUGGAUGUGGAGUAUUUUAUUCAUUAAAAUUUUAAAAUCUAAAAUUAGAUCAAAGAAAAAAACUCCUAGAUAUAAUAUUAGGAGAGCAAAGCUUUCAAAUCUCAAACUAAAUUUGGGAGAGUAAGGAAAAGGGAAAAAAAAAUAACUAGGAUGGGAGGGAGAGAUCUAGGUCAGAUCCCUCCAUCCCAAGAAGUGGAAGAGAUGAAGAAAGGUUCAGAGUGGGUGGGAGGGAGGGAGGGAGGAGUUUGGGAGAGGAAAAGGCGUUGGUGUCAAUUUUGAUCUAUUCUACUUUAAAGAGAGAAAAUCAAUGGUUAGAAUAUAUCUACUGCUGAUAGAUUGAAAGCCUAAGAAAGAGCAAAGUCGAAGCUUUGCAUUGAGUAGUGCUUCUGUUUGAAGGGUUUCUAGUUGAGUUGGUAAGAGAUUGUAUUAUGAAAAUAUACUUUGUGAAGCUAAAUAUUUUUCGAAACAUAGGCAAGAACCGAUGAUAUCUAGAAGUAAUCAAAUAGAGCAAUGCCAAACCUUGAAAUACUCAUUUUCUAGUUGAUGGUGAAUAUCUCACAUAUGCAUGCAAUGUUAAUUAGGUAGCUGAAGUACCAAAAUGCGCAUAUGCUAUUAGUGAAGAAAAGAUGAGAUUAGUAAUGAGUGGAUUCAAGACAAAGUUAUAGUAAUGUCAAUCUGGGAUGAGAACAAGACUGUUAUGAUGUGUGGAGCAAUGAUUGUAGAUGAGCUAAUAAGAAGAUACUGACUGCUCUAUAAUAAGCCAACAAGGAAAAGAGGAGUAAAAUGGAAGAGGUGGACAUAAAUUUUAUGACAAAUGUUGAGUUUGUAGAUCUUUUCAAGACUCCAUACUAGAAGAGGGUAAAAAAUUGUUAUCCUUUAGAACUUUCAUUUGCCAUUGUUGAGAGAUAUUACAUAAAGUACAAAAACCACAGCAAAAAUAGAACAUAAAUUUUUAUUUGACCGGACAAAUCUCUAAAGCAAGCACUAACUUAAUUUCGAAGGUGAAAUAAUUUCUCUUAUUUUGAGGUCAUUUAUCAACAAAUCAAAUUUUAAUUGGCAUAAGGUAUGUUGAAAGAGUGACGUGUUGAUUGUAUGGAAAGAAAAAUUAGGAUAUUCAUAUGACAUGAACAAUGCAGCCUCAAAAAACUUGAGAUACCAUAGAAUCAACAAUCACAAAAUGAAUUGAGUUUUAGAGAGUAUUAGUUGUAUAUCCACAUUGCCAAAACUUAAAAAAUAAUAGAAUCCCACCAUAAAUAGAAAUAUCAACUAUUUAUGUAUGUGAAAUACUAACUCUACUGGUAGCCCACUCUGAAAUUAGAAAUCAAAUUGCAGCUUUACUCCCCACACAUUCCGCAAUGAAAGGACUCUAAACUUAGUUGUUCUUUUCCUCUCGUCUCGUUACAUAACAAUUUUAGCUAGGACAAUAAGAGGUAUACUCAAUACACAUAUUGCAUUACAAAUCCAGUAUGAUUAAUAGAUAAACAGCUGCAUUUUGAAUUGCCUCUUGCUUUAACUUCGCCUUCAUUACCUAGAUCACGCUAUUCCACACAAAAACCAAACUUUUGGCCCCUCCCAUUUUACUUUGCCAAAAGAACGUCUCUCUCUUUUAUGCUAAGUACAAUAUUCAACAAGAUCCUGCAAUUACAAUAGUAGCAAAAUCUUUAAUGCCAAGGUGACAAAAAACAGCUUUUUCCAAAGUGUCUCUAAGCAUAAAUUACAAUCAAGCCCGGCCUUUUCCCAUAUUAACCAACUAUGGUAACAAAAACAGAGAUCAUGGUGUCUUCACUCUAUGCACUUCUUACUCAUUCGUCCUUCUCAUUUCGAUUCAUACUUCACUUGCUAAGCCACCAUGCCAUCCGGAUGAGAGCUCUGCCUUGAUGGAAUUCAACCAAGUUUCAAAAUCUAUAGAACAUAUUUUCACUGUGUUUAUGCACAGGUUUAUCAGGGUCACAUGGAGAUUGCUGCUCAUGGGAUGGCGUAGAGUGUCACAAUGCCAUUACAAUUGGAUAAUACUUUACAAACUUCCAUGCUUAAAAUAUAUAAAUAUUCAUGACUUCUUAAAGAUGUUAUUUCAAGUAUCACGGCAUUGCAUGGGCUAAAAUGCUAGUGUUGUUAUACAAUAGGAGUGAAGAACAGAAAUAAGAUACUCACGUCGAAAUUAACAUUUGAAGUGAUAAUAAACUAAAAAAGGAAAAAAAAAGAAGAAGAAGAAGAAGAAGAAGAAAAAUGAUGAAUGCCUAUACACAGGAGAUGAAUCUUUUUUUCUCCCCUUCUUUUGGGGAAAAACAUAAUGACAUUAAACAAAACAAAUCAAGCUACAUUGUCUAAUAUAAGUGUGCUCCGAUGCCCUUAAAAACAUUUGGAACAUAGGAUAAAUAACAAAUUUCAAAUGUUGUUCCAUUCCAAGUAGGGCUAAAGUGACUAGCCAACCAGGCUUGUGAGAUUACUUGCGCCCAUUAAGCCAUAAAGCCUAUUCAAAGAGGACUAAAACGAUGUGAACGAGUUGUUAGUCUUUCAAUUUGGUCUUGGUCCAACUCACUCAUUCUUAUAGAGCAGAAUGAAUGAACUAGCAUUGCCUUAGUACUCCCUUUCCAUGACAAUGAUGUACAUUGUAGAUAGUUAAAUCGUAGAUGCAUGGAACUCUCAUGUACGAACUAAGUAAUAAAAUGAUUCAACACAUAGGUGGAUAACUAGAAGACAGAAAUUGUUUAUACCCAAUGUUCAUUCUUUAACUGUUGAGUUAAUCUCAUUGGAUCAUGCCUCGAUGCUUGGUAUUUGUUUGUGCUUUAUGUAAAUUAGGUGAUUCCACUUCUUUGAUUGUGAAUCGAUACCUUCCUCAUAAAAAACCAUUGAAGGUUAAGAAAAUAAAAGGUGUAUCACAAUGAUUAAUGAUAUUAUAAGCAAUGAACGGAAUAAUCACAGAAUUACUUUGGAAAAUUUGAGGCACUAGCUAUACCUAUUGAUCAGAAUGCGCCAUGUAAGUGAAGUCGACGUUGCAUUUCAUCAUUGAGUCCGCGUUCAGCAGAAGACGUCAACCUUACCUUCACUCAAAAGUCGUCUCUCAUGUCUUCCACUCAGUUGAGAACCUGAGAUGACUAGUUCAACUUGCAAGUCAUGCACAUCUUGUCCACGUAAUGUCACCCAAGAUUUGCUAGUAUCCUAUUUGUUCCAGUAUAUCCACGGGUUAAAACCAAAUGGUAGGUUAUAAUAAUUUUUAUGUAGCUGGCUUCUUAAUCAAAAUUUCGGCUUUGCAAAUUGACUUUUGAGUCAACCAACAAACCCCAUAAAAUCAACUUCUAUGUAACAUUUUUUUUUAAAAAAAAAAAUUAGCAAUGAACUAGUAUACAUAUUAGCUUUCGUGCAUCUCGAUAAGUUUAUUUUUCUAAGCGAUCUUGAGGAUGCUCUUCCUUAUAUCAAUUUGGUAUAAUCGGGAUUUUGCUCCUAGGAUGCUCCUAAUAAAACUUGAAUUCAAGAUCAUAAGGAGAAGAGAAAACUUCUAGCAAAAUUUUUCCAACACCUUGGUGGUUAUGUGUAGCAAUUUCAAGUUUACCAACUAGAUCAAAGUACGACAAAGACCAAAAACGUAUUGUACUGAAUAAGGAUAAUGCACUUAACCUUUUUAUAUGAAGCAUGUCGGUUUUUGUUUAUUCAUUUUUGAAAUAUUCGAUAAUUUCAUAAAUUCAUUUUAACUUAGGUUCCAUUGGUAUUCAUGGAAAAUAUAUAAUCUAGAAAAUAUUUUCUUAAAAAUGAUUACUUGUGUUAUUUACAAAACGAAUAAAUAAAAAUAUUUUCAUUGACCAAAAAUAUAUUUAGACAUAAAUUAUUGAUGAUGAUGAAACUAUUUUUCACAAACUAACAAUUUUUAAGCUAUAUAAGAGAUUAUUUUUACAAAAAAAAAAUUCAAAUAAUUCAUUUUACCCGAAAUAAAUGGAGCCUUAGAAUGGUCUCUCUCCUCUUUAAGUUGGAAGUAAUCAUACUCUUUUGCUUGAGUCAAGCUUCAACAUUAGUGAAUAGACCAAUAAAGAAACUUUGAAGGUGUGGAAAUAAAUGCAAACGUAAAUAAUGGGUCGAGUCCAUAGAUACUUCUCAAGUUAGGGCUAAAAAUAUAUCCACUUAGUCACAUAAAGCUUUUGAGUAUUUUGUUGACACCUGAAUUUUAACUACCCUAUUCAAUUCUUUGCCGCAUUGAAAAUAAGAUGUUGACCCCAAUUCCUAAAUAAAAAUUCUACUUGCAUAAUUCACAUUUACAUUUUAUUUAUUUCAUGAACCAUUGCCACAUUGAAAAGAAGAUGUUGACCCCGAUUCCUAAAUAAAAAUUCUACUUGCAUAAUUCACAUUUACAUUUUAUUUAUGUCAUAAACCAUAUCCGAGUCACAUAGCUCUUAGAGGAGGUUAUCAUGAAUGGUUGCGCACCUAAACGAAGUGUUAUAGCCGGCCAUGUAAAAAAAAAAAAAAACAUUACUCUUACAUAUUGUCCUUAGCCAAAUCAAUUUAACACCAACAUCCAAGUCUUAAACAAUGACCAAGCUUUAAGCGAUAACAACAAAUGAAGACAAACCGCAAUAAAUUAGUGGGGCAACUUGCUAGUUUUUUGGUUAGAUGUAACAUUAAAGUCCCACAAAAUUCAAUUUUGAUUGGCCCGCAAUAAAACCGCUUUUAUGAUAGUUGGCCAAAUCAAUGUUUGCGCAACUAACCUUGAGAAGUCAAUACUUGUCAUUAACUCUUCCCUCGAUCAAUGAAACCUUUUCAAGACAAGAACAGUUGAUUUCCAUUACUGCUUUGACUUACUUGAAUAGAUAUUUCCAUUGGCCGCCAGUGCAACUGCCAGUCAUCACUAUUAACAAAAGAACGGACAACACUGAUAGGUCUCAGCCUCCAAUUCCCAAAAUCCAGUUUUAAUUAGCAAAAUCCAUCAGCAAAAUAAUAGAAAGAAUUGUUUUUCUUCAAAUUACUAAUAUGUCUUUGAUGUUGAUCUACCCAAAUAUCUCUGGGAGAUUUUCGUUUGAAAAAUGUUAAAAGAGUACCCCUAAGGUACUCGUCAAUAGUCAUUAGUUGUGCUUCGGUAAUAUUAACAUUACAAUAUGUUCGUAAUGGAUGUGGUCAAAAUGCACACUCAAAGCCUAGCUAAAUUAUACUAUAGUCUUCAACACUAUCAAAGUGAUGAGCCUCACAAAAAAAUUUCCACAAAUUCCAUUUCCAACAGCAGUCUAAUAUCUGCAUGGGGAGAGACGUCAAGGGAAAAAAAUAAUUCGAACUCACGGGAAAAAAAAAAAGAAAAACAAGGUCGUCUGAAAAUUGACUGCGUUAACUAGUCAUUAAAAACAUGCUUUUAACCAAAAAAUGAACCGGCCUCACUACUUAUCUUCCUUCUCGGCCUCAGCGGCCUUUAACAUCCUCACGCCCACGUGACGUUUGUUCAUGCGCUCCACUCGCAGCUUUCAUAUGCGUUGAAUGAUUUCAUCUCAUCUGUGACCUCCACAAGUUCCACCGCUGGCUUCUCUCUUACAAUGGGCAGGUAAGUUCCUUGGACUUGAGUUGCAUUUGCAAGCUCUUCUGGAGUAGAAUUACCAGCCUGCAUGGAGAAGGAAGAUGAGAUGCUUUCAACGAGAAGAAGGAUCGCACAAUAUUGAUAUGAAUUUUGUAAGUAGUCAAUUAACCUUGAAUUUCCGUGCACAUUUCGGGAAGACGACUAGCUUCGCCCUGUAUGUCUUCAGCCUCUGCACAUUAGCAUGUAGACCUUCCAGUGACUGAUUCUUGCGGCGAUGAUCAACCGCAAUUCCAAUUGUUGGAGGUAAUUUCUUCGGGAUACCUGCUGCCUGAGACGUGCAAAAUGCAUGUUAAGCACGAGGCUUGCACCGGAUGCUGAAAACUGUAAAAGGAUAUCCUUGAAGGAAAGAGCAAUCAGGGAAAGGCGUUUUCGUUAUCAUAAAAAUACUAGCUCUAGUAAUUCCAAACCUUUGUGGAAAAAAGCAUGUUUAGUAAAAAUGAAAACAUGCCAACUUAACAGACAGAAUCUGGAUGAAACAGUGAAAAGGCUAAAAAAAGAAGUGCCACGUUCCAUUUAAAGAGCUAAAUGAAGCGAAGGACGCAAGUCUACUUGGAACCUGCCACUCCAAUAGCCAAAUGUGACUUUGACCACAGCUAGGAGUAAUAUACCAGUAACACAACACGGGCAUUAACAAUGCUUCAUAUGCAAAAAAGUGGUGAAAAUAAUGCUGGUGGUCUGAGGGGACCUGCUGUUGGCCGUGGGAAAAUCUUCACAGCCUUCUUUUGCUGAGCUGGGCACGAAAUAAAGAGCAUCAGAAUGCUCUGAUAAUAAGAAUGACAACCAAUGAUUUCACUUCGAUAGCUAGGUAAGUAGUUCAAUUACCUAGGCGUCUUCUAGCCUUUCUCGCAGGCUGGUUAAAACAGGUCUUGAUGUAAUUUUGCCAGUGCUUUCUGAAGUGCCCAUUUGGCACGACAUUGUUAUGUUUAACCAUGACUUACCUAAAAAGGAAAAUAAAGACAAAGCUUUUAAGGUUAAGAUGGCUCUGAGAUGUGGAUAUAUCUUAUCAGC